Long non-coding RNA from Stegostoma tigrinum, 333 nucleotides. RefSeq lists it as uncharacterized. The transcript is spliced from 3 exons. NCBI's taxonomy places the organism in Eukaryota, Metazoa, Chordata, Chondrichthyes, Orectolobiformes, Stegostomatidae. The record is from RefSeq and is a predicted model, not a curated record.
CUGUAAAUCCGUACCCUGUGAGAGUACUUGCAUUUCUGCAUGGGUGGUGAGGAUGUGGGAAGGGGCUGUUACUUAUGAGUGUCUGUAUCCUAUAUUCUUGUAAAGUCUUGGACUACUUGACUGAAAUUUAUCCUUUUACUUGAAGCUGCUAAUUUAAACCGAAAGUCCCUGAGAGUCUUGUCGACGGGUCCAAUCAAACAGAUCAAGAUUUCUGCAGCACAGCAGCCUCAACAAGAGCAGGAGACAAAAAGCUGCACAAGACCAGUAAAUCCUGAAAAACAAUAAUGCAGGGAAAACAUCAGCUUUCAAGUGAGACUAGGAGCCACUGCAGAA